GACCCUCCUGAAAAAUGGGAUUUUACUUUAUGCUCAGCACCCUCCUGAAAAAUGGGACUUCACUUUCUGCUCAGGAUCCUCCUGAAAAAUGGGAUUUCACUUUCUGUUCAGGACCCUCCUGAAAAAUGGAAAUUUACUUUAUGUUCAGGACCCUCCUAAAAAAUGGAAUUUUACUUUCAGUUCAGGACCUUCCUGAAAAAUGAGANNNNNNNNNNNNNNNNNNNNNNNNNNNNNNNNNNNNNNNNNNNNNNNNNNNNNNNNNNNNNNNNNNNNNNNNNNNNNNNNNNNNNNNNNNNNNNNNNNNNNNNNNNNNNNNNNNNNNNNNNNNNNNNNNNNNNNNNNNNAAAUUUACUUUAUGUUCAGGACCCUCCUGAAAAAUGGAAUUUUACUUUCAAUUCAGGCCCCUCCUGAAAAAUGGGAAUUUACUUUAUGUUCAGGUCUCUCCUGAAAGAUGGGACUUUACUUUCUGCUCAGGACCCUCCUGAAAAAUGAGAUUUUACUUUCAGUUCAGGACCCUCCUGAAUAAUGAGAAUUUACUGGACCCUCCUGAAAAAUGGGAAUUUUUUUUAUGUUCAGGACCCUCCUGAAAAAUGGGACUUUACUUUCUGUUCAGGACUCUCCUAAAAAAUGGGAUUUUAUUAUCUGUUCAGGGCCCUCCUGAAAAAUGGGAUUUCACUUUCUGCUCAGGACCGUUAUGAAAAAUGGGAAUUUACUUUAUGUUCAGGACCCUCCUGAAAAAUGAAAUUUUACUUUCAGUUCAGGCACCUCCUGAAAAAUGGGAAUUUACUUUAUGUUCAGGAUCCUCCUGAAAAAUGAGAAUUUACUUUAUGUUCAGGACCCUCCUGAAAAAUGGGAUUUUACUUUCAGUUCAAGACCCUCCUAAAAAAUAGGAAUUUACUUUAUGUUUAGGACCUCCUAAAAAAUGAGAUUGUACUUUCAGUUCAGGAACCUCAUGAAAAAUGGGAUUUUACUUUCAGUUCAGGCCCCUCGUGAAAAUGGGACAUUACUUUCAAAAAUGAUGAAAUCCUUCUUUAUUAUAAUCUUUGUUUGGGAUAAUUUUCAUUCUAGUUUUGAUUUUGGUUUCAGGAGCCCGCCUGAAGAACAGGGUAAGAAAAUGGUAAGUCGGGAUCCCGCCCGAAGAACUAGGUGAUGAAAUGAGAAAUUGAAGAAAUUGCAAGUUAGGAACCCGCCUGAAGAACAAGGCGAAUAAAUGAAAAGUCAAGCAAAAUGGUGAAGAAAUUGAAAGUUAAGCAAUGAGGUGAAACAAUUGAAAGCCAAACAACAAGUUGAAGAAAUUGCAAAUCAGGAGCCCGCCUGAAGAAUAGGGUAAUGAAGUAGCAAGUCAAGAGUCCAACAGGAAAGCUGCAUAGAUAGGAUUUUGUAAUUUCAAUUAUGUUUUAACUUGUAAUUUUCAUUUUGAUGUAAUGACAGAGCCGCGGAUCGGAAUCUCGAUAGAACCUCACUCGACUCUCCAACCCGGUAUUGUCCUUUUCUUUCAAAUCUUUUGAGAUACCGGUCAUUUGAUUCCUCUAUAAUUUGGGUAGGUAGGAUGUCCUAAGUCAAGAUUCGAUUGUCCUUCUUCUUUCUGUUUCUUCCUUUGAAUAAUAGUCGGGACAAAAUUUUGUCUUAUUGUCUACUUCUUUGUCUGAAAACACUUCAUGUUUACAUUCAAAGGGGGCAUGAUGUAAACACCUAAUUUCGUCUCUCCCCGAUAACAUUUUUACCCAAUUUUACCUUAUCCUACCGUGUACCCUCAUCCAUGUUAUUAUACCUCUACAAAAUGACAAAAACUAACAACUCCCUAAUUAAUUUUAUCUUAUCCUAAUAACCUACCCCAUACCCCUAUCCUAUCUCACCUACCCCUAAUCACCCUCCCUCACGUUUUUAGUCUUUUUUUUUACACAAUACAAAGACAACAAAAAGAGGCUCCCAGGGGAAUAGACCAUCACAUAUAGAGACAAUUCUCUAUGGGCCCACAGAACAAUAUAUAUUUAUUCACCAUUGAAUAGAUUCAUUCACAGAGAUAUAGGGGUGGGCCCCGUGAUUUUCUCCAUUCUCAUCAGUAUACUAAACUCUCACAGUAACCGACUAAUGGACUCCACCUCAUAGUAGCACAGAGAGCAUCUUCCUUUUUCCAUUUUUUCAUACGACACCACCACAGCACACACUGGAUUCACGAUUUUCUUUGGAUGCACACGCCAUUGCUCUCACCAUAAACGCACACGCACGAAGAGAGAGAUCGAAGCUUGAGGAAUUAGAGUAGAGAAAUCAGAUAGAAAGAAUAGAGAAGAGAAACCAGAGAGAAAUAGACAAAAAGCCAGUGAAGAGAGGUCUGCUCCGGCGACCCGAUCUCGCUGGAGCUCCGGUGACUCAUAAGGGUAGUUUCUACCUUCACUGGCGUCAAAAUCAUCGGAAAACAUCGCUAAUAGCGACCCACAAUCCAAUCGCUCAGAAAUCCGUCGAAAACAGUAACCCCGUCGACCGAAAACAUAUCAGCGACCAAACUAGCUGAUUCCGACGAGAUUAGUUUGGGUUCGACGAGAUUCUUGACACUGUUAUCUCGGGCUUUCGCAUUUUCAGUGAUUCAAAUCCGUGCGCGUCAUUACUUUUCACUAUUGAGGUGGUGUGAUUUGUUCGUGAUUGAGGUUCGACGUUGAGGUUCCGUUGAACGCGGUUCUAUUCGGGAAGAUCCAUUAAUCAAUAAAGCUCGAUUUGAGGUACAAUUCUAUCUCGUUCUUAUUUUGAUUUCAUUAUAUACACGUGGUUGGUUUGUGUGAAGCAUGAUAUGAAUAUUUGGGUGAUAUCAAUUUAUUUGUUUGGUUCAGUAGACAAUGAUUGUGGAUUGUUAAAGUGGUGAUUGUGAAUUUUUGGAAUUUUGAUAAUUAAUUUGGGGGCAAGAAUUGAAAAACUUGAUAUAAUUGAUGAAUUUUGGUUAGUUUGAUAUGUUUGACUUGAAAUGAAUGUUAAUCGAACUUGAUAGUGUCAUGAUAGGUGGAUUGGUUUAGGCAAACAUAGGUUGGAUAGGCAAACUUAGGAAUGGUGAUUUGUUUGAACGUUCGAAAUGAUUGUUGAAUGAUUUGUUUAUCGCAUUUGACUCAAUUGUAUUCAUUUGGCCGGGGAAUUCCCCGAGGAAAUUUGUAUUGGUUACUGGGGAGCACCCCGCGAGAUUGUGUAUUCAGAAGGACGUUCGUGAUGAAGGCCCGAGACAUCGGGUGAGGCAUUGGAGCUUAGUCUAGGAUUAAUUUAGAAUAAAAUUUAUUUUACGCAUUUUUUCAUUUUUGGAUUGUAUGAUUGGAUUGAAUACUAUAUUUUGGAUUUUUUCUAUUUCAUGUGUUUGGAUGCUUGUUUAUGUGUUUUAUGUGGUUUAUACGUUCUUAGUGCCAAAAUUAGCCGAUACGCUUGGCGAAGCGACCGUGGUCAAACCACGGGAUCGAGGGGUGUCUAACACCUUCUCCUCGGUCAACAGAAUUCCUUAGCCGGAAUCUCUGUUUGCAAAUCAGUUUUACAGAGUCAAAUCGUUUUGAAAAGGAUUUUUCAAAGGUGACUUGGCAUACCAGAUUAUGUCAAGUGGUAACUCUGAAUAAAAAAUUUAAAUAAUCCUUUUUCGAAACAAUUUUUUUUGUGUCACUUUAAUAAUAAAAAUCCUUUCAAAUUUAAAAUCUAUCUUUUUGGUGUAAAAAGGGGUGUGACAAAUAUAAUAAAAUAAUAUUUAAACUACUAAUUUAUUUAUUAAAAAUAAAAAUAAGAAUCAAAAUAAUAUAUGAUUAAAUAUAGUAUAAUAUAAAUAUUUAAUAUCGAAACAUAUAUAUUUUAUACUUAGGAAAGGUUAAAAAUCACGUGUCUAAAAAAUAAGGGAAUAUAUACCCCAAAUUAUGAUAACUAUUCAGAACGGAGGAAAUAUACAUUGGCUGGUUGGUUCUAUCCCAACUAUUGAUGCUUCUCCGAUCCUUUUCUUAGAUUUGAGAAAAACAAAAAGGAAUUAAAAAAAAGCUUUUUAGAACUUGAAUCUAGGCCAAAAUAAUGAAAAUACUUAAAAAGUAAAGCUAAGAUUUCUAACUUAUGACUUUUUAUUUACAAGUUGUAAGCCAAAAAUCAAUUCAAAUAGACUUUAAGUUCUACUUUUAUUCAUGAAAACAUUUUAUUUCAUCCGUUCUUAAAUACACUACAAAAAAAAUUGAUCGAUAAAUUAUGGCGGGUUAUUUGUCAAUUUGUGACCGCAACAAAAAGAAUUGUGGCAAUUUCGGAAAGUGCCACAAUAAGCCUUGCCACGAACAAUAUUGUAGCUGUUUUUCGAAACCUCCCUGACGUCUGUCACAAAAUGAAUUUUGAAUUUGUGGAAUUUUUUUAAGUUAAUAGGUGGCAGCUUAGAACCCUCGCAACAUGAUAUUAAUGUUUUAAAAAAAUAUUGUGGGAGUUUAUAAAUCCCCGCAAUAUGAUCACAAUGUCACAAAAAAAUUAUUGUGGUGUUUUAUAAAUCCCACAAUAAAAUACUAGUUGUUUUCUUAGAAAAUUAUGUGGUAGUUUUCAACCACUACAAUAUGAGAGUAAUACUUAAAAAAUAAUAAUUGGUGGCAGUUUAACUUCGCCACAAUAUUUUUGUUGCUUACUUUCUAUUUGAAACUUACAAUAGGAAUGAAUAAAUAAAAAAAAUAAUUAGUCGCAGUUUGCAAUGUUUGGUUAAUCCCAAACCUGACACAGCCAAAAACUAUCAUCAAACUCAUAAACAAGUAAACUAACCCAACUGACAAGAACCCAACUUUACUAAUUAUUGUUUAUUAAAAUGAACCUGUUUUUACACAGAAAAACUUAUUAGGUCUGUUGUGAAUACAACAUGAGUGAUCUUGUACGAACUAUGAAAUUUAUUUUGGGAUUGUAGGAAAUUUCACUAUGCUCUUUCUCUUCUUGGUACCAACGCUUACAUUCGAAAGGAUCAUAAAAAAUAAAUUGAUAGAAUAGUUCUGUGGCGUAC
Molecule: long non-coding RNA, 4969 nt
Filed under: Capsicum annuum
Lineage: Eukaryota; Viridiplantae; Streptophyta; Magnoliopsida; Solanales; Solanaceae
Description: long non-coding RNA (CANN_LNC007643)
Source: RNAcentral